UACAGAGGGUGCAAGCGUUGUUCGGAAUUAUUGGGCGUAAAGGGCGCGUAGGCGGUGCGGUAAGUCUGUAGUGAAAUCUCUGGGCUCAACUCAGAGUCUGCUAUAGAAACUGCCGUGCUAGAGUGUGGGAGAGGUGAGUGGAAUUCCCGGUGUAGCGGUGAAAUGCGUAGAUAUCCGGAGGAACACCAAAGGCGAAGGCAGUGUCCUGGGGAGUACCUGACGCUCAGGUGCGAAAGCCAGGGGAGCGAACGGG
This 253-nucleotide ribosomal RNA is filed under the name uncultured bacterium. RNAcentral describes it as "partial 16S ribosomal RNA". It matches the Rfam family "Bacterial small subunit ribosomal RNA", at positions 524 to 776 of the family's 1533-position model. The record is from RNAcentral.